RNAcentral lists this ribosomal RNA (465 nucleotides) under uncultured Klebsiella sp. Its description in RNAcentral is "bacterial SSU rRNA". It matches the Rfam family "Bacterial small subunit ribosomal RNA", at positions 338 to 795 of the family's 1533-position model. Lineage: Bacteria; Pseudomonadati; Pseudomonadota; Gammaproteobacteria; Enterobacterales; Enterobacteriaceae. The record is from RNAcentral.
CCUACGGGUGGCAGCAGUGGGGAAUAUUGCACAAUGGGCGCAAGCCUGAUGCAGCCAUGCCGCGUGUGUGAAGAAGGCCUUCGGGUUGUAAAGCACUUUCAGCGGGGAGGAAGGCGGUGAGGUUAAUAACCUCAUCGAUUGACGUUACCCGCAGAAGAAGCACCGGCUAACUCCGUGCCAGCAGCCGCGGUAAUACGGAGGGUGCAAGCGUUAAUCGGAAUUACUGGGCGUAAAGCGCACGCAGGCGGUCUGUCAAGUCGGAUGUGAAAUCCCCGGGCUCAACCUGGGAACUGCAUUCGAAACUGGCAGGCUAGAGUCUUGGAGAGGGGGGUAGAAUUCCAGGUGUAGCGGUGAAAUGCGUAGAGAUCUGGAGGAAUACCGGUGGCGAAGGCGGCCCCCUGGACAAAGACUGACGCCCAGGUGCGAAAGCGUGGGGAGCAAACAGGAUUAGAUACCCCGGUAGUC